UCCAUGGUGACGUGGAAUCGGAAGGAAGCUCGAGGCAAACCUCUGGUCUGACGGACAGAAAUCAUAUAAGAGGCAACGUAUGUGGAUAAGGGUGCCAAAGAAUCUGAAGUCCAUAGCUACUAAAACAUACGGUGUAAAUAUGGCAGAUAGAUGGAGGAAAAGAGUUCGUAC
Molecule: non-coding RNA, 171 nt
Filed under: Gracilibacillus ureilyticus
Lineage: Bacteria; Bacillati; Bacillota; Bacilli; Caryophanales; Bacillaceae
Source: RNAcentral